This 393-nucleotide ribosomal RNA is filed under the name uncultured bacterium. RNAcentral describes it as "bacterial SSU rRNA". It matches the Rfam family "Bacterial small subunit ribosomal RNA", at positions 30 to 428 of the family's 1533-position model. The record is from RNAcentral.
AUUGAACGCUGGCGGCAUGCCUUACACAUGCAAGUCGAACGCGAAAGGGGGCAACCCUGAGUAGAGUGGCGAACGGGUGAGUAAUGUAUCGGAACGUACCCAGUAGUGGGGGAUAGCCCGGCGAAAGCCGGAUUAAUACCGCAUACGACCUACGGGUGAAAGCGGGGGAUCGCAAGACCUCGCGCUAUUGGAGCGGCCGAUAUCGGAUUAGCUAGUUGGUGGGGUAAAAGCCUACCAAGGCUACGAUCCGUAGCAGGUUUGAGAGAACGACCUGCCACACUGGGACUGAGACACGGCCCAGACUCCUACGGGAGGCAGCAGUGGGGAAUUUUGGACAAUGGGCGAAAGCCUGAUCCAGCCAUGCCGCGUGAGUGAAGAAGGCCUCGGUUGUAA